RNAcentral lists this long non-coding RNA (2708 nucleotides) under Ananas comosus (pineapple). Its description in RNAcentral is "long non-coding RNA (ACOM_LNC028934)". Lineage: Eukaryota; Viridiplantae; Streptophyta; Magnoliopsida; Poales; Bromeliaceae. The record is from RNAcentral.
CCCCUGUGAACAUUUUUUAUUUUACAGGGGGGCAAAGUGUAGGUUUUUAAAUGUCAGGGGGGAAAGUGAAAAAGCGGAUUAUUAUAGAGGGGUUUUCUGUAAUUUCGCAUUUUUUUUUAUUGUAUGCUUUAAUUUGUGUAACUAAUCUAUCUAUUUAUACAACUCCGUCCUCUUCACCAAUCGCCAUUAUGAUGCCUCCAAUCCUAUCGGUGAGCUCCCAUCGGUAGGAAAAUUCUACUGAUUGCAGGGAAUGAGGGGAAGGGGUGCUGCCAUGACCCCAUGGCCGACGGUCACGCUACCGCCGUGCGUUGCUUGCUAGAGCCCUCGCCAUCAUAUCUGAAGCUCAUUCCUUCUCCUAUUGGGUUUCCCACAUGAGAUCGACAAUGUAAGUCACGCACCUCUCUCUUGCUUUCCCUUUUUUUUUUAAUCAUGAUAAAUAAUCCAAUUUGCAAUUUUUAUCCUCAAUUACCAGUUUUCCUUGCCAAUUCAAGUAUUUUCUUUUUUUUUUUAAGCAUUGUUUGCUUUUAAAUUAAUGUACGAUUAUUUGAGUUGGUAAAUCCAGACAUCUCUACUCAAUUUUCCCUCUUUUGUCACCUGUAGUGACAACUACAACGGCAAUGACGAGGGUACAACUAGGCAAAAUUUUUCUAAUUUGUAAGAUAAAUUUUUCUAAUUUGUAAUGUCUUAGAAGGCUUAUUAUUUGCUUUUUGGUUGUUUUUAACCUGUUGUAUCUCAUGCCUACUAGAUGGACCAAUUUGAGCCUUAUUGGUUUUUCGUGAACCAAAUUUAAAAUUAGAGUGAAAAUUCAAAUAGGCAUGAGACCAAUUAGAUUGAUAAUAAUGAAGUGCCUGAAAGGUCUUGAAAGGAUUGGUUAUUUUAGAAACGUAUUGCCUCCUCACUCUUCCAAACUGUCUCAACAGCUUUCUGAUGCUCAAAUUUCUUUAUUUUUCAUUCUUUGAUAGUUUAAUUGUUAAGUUCGGUGUCUUCAAAAUUAUUUGAUGUAAUGCCUCAAAGAGUUUAGUGAGGCCAAAAAAAAAUAAACCAUGUGGUUGCGAUUCUUGGUAAUAUGAAUGUCUUCUAUUUUUUUUCUUCUAUACAUAAUUUUCACUACUUUUUAUUUGUAUUCAUCUUAGAUUUUCUAUCGACAAGAGGAGAUGCAAGAUAAGUGCAAAAUCUUUAUAAUCCCAUAAUUUUCUUUGUAACUUGUACGUCAUUUCAUUCUCUUUAUAACCCAAUUUAUGAACUAUAUUCUAGGAACUUAAAAGUAUUGGUGCCAUCAAGUAGUCUUGUUGCAUCUUCUCUAGGAAUUGAGAUGGCGAUGUGGUGGUACCACCUGUAUAUUUUGUGUCACACCUCGAGGCCGUUCCAAUUUGGUCGGUUCGGGCACGUCGAACAGAUGCCGAAAGGAUAACACCUCCCUUGUCCGCCUAAAGCUCAACACAUGUACAAUUCAAGUAGAGAGAAUGCACAAGAGGAAACAUACACAUAUGGCUUGCACGAGAGCACGCAGUAGCCAAAAGUGAAAAAUUCUAAACUAAACAUUCAUACAAGUAUGAUGAUUAACUUUUAACCACAUACAUGCAUUCACAUCAUAUCUUACAUUUACAUUUACAUUCUUUUCAUCAUUUCUUUUUACAUUACAAGUUCUCCAAAAUGGGCUUUUACAUUUAACCCUUAUCUAUACAUUUGUAUCAUUUAUAUAUCUGUAAUCAUCAAGUACAAAAGAUGAUAUAAGGGAACGCAACUAUACAAAAAUGAACCAACACGGGUAGUCACUGUCUGUGGCGCGAUACCUUUACCGCGAUCGUCGGCCGGCUCACUCGGUCCCGGCUCUGUAGAAAUAGUGGGGUGAGAACUACAACAAAGUUCCCAGUGGGUUCCGCCGCCGACCUCACCGACUUUCCUACUAGGUCUAAAUCAGGUAUAAUAGAAGAAUAGAGAGAUAGUAACCAACUAAACAAAUACAGCUAAUAUGCUUGAACAAGAUAUAAUCAAUAAUAUGCUCAAAUGAAAUGCUCAUGAUGAAUGCAAGAUCCGCUUUUCAAUUCUCAAUCCUCUUGGCUAAUUCGUAGGUUUCGCCUAAAGCAACUCACCAACUCAUAAUCCUAAUUGUCGGGGAGACUACUAUGAUCCGACGGGACCGUCCUUUGGGGAGACUACUACAACCCAGUGAUGACUACUCCGGAGCUCAUCGCUCGAGGGGGAGCUACCACCCUCCGAGCCAAAAAGUAUAGAUGAGUAUGAUCAAUCCUUAACUGUAAGGAUGCAAUACUCACAUGACCUUUAACUAUAAGGUUGUUAUGUCAUAAUGUCAACUAUGUCAUUUAUUAGUAUUCUUUAACUUUUCUUGAGUCACAACACUCUAAGUGUUCUAUAUUCACGUUGUCAUGCAUUCAUUGAUCUCAUUAAUGCCACCCUUGUGUUUACAUCUAGCAUUCAAUGUUCUCAUUAAUGCCACUUACUAUUAAUGUCAUAAUGUCAUUUGUUUUCAAUGUCACUAGAUUCUUUAUCUUUUCUAGGUUCUUAUCAUCAUUCAUGUAUACAUAGGGUUUUUACAAGUUCUCACUAAUUUACAAUCAUCUCACAUGCAUUUGUAUUCACAACAUGCAACAACACGUGUCCAUAUGCUCUAAUUUCACCCUACAAUGCAUAAUGAUUAUAUAUAACCUAUACUCAAGAAAUGACAUAGACAUAAAAGAAAAUUCGAG